This 129-nucleotide non-coding RNA is filed under the name Clostridium estertheticum. The record is from RNAcentral. Lineage: Bacteria; Bacillati; Bacillota; Clostridia; Eubacteriales; Clostridiaceae.
CAAUAGAAUAUAAUUUUAGGUGCCUAGAGUAUUAGGUGAAAAGGGAAUGUGGUUUAAGUCCGCAGCAGCCCCCGCUACUGUAAUUGAGAAAUCAAAAGCCAGGAGACCUGCCUAAAUGAUGUUAACAAA